This 68-nucleotide transfer RNA is filed under the name Marmota monax (woodchuck). RNAcentral's name for it is "tRNA.Val". Lineage: Eukaryota; Metazoa; Chordata; Mammalia; Rodentia; Sciuridae. The record is from RNAcentral.
GUUGUGGCUCAAUGGUAGAGUGUUUGCCUCACAUAUGCAAGACCCUGGGUUUGAUCCUCAGCACGACA